This is a long non-coding RNA of Solea solea (common sole), 892 nucleotides long. RefSeq lists it as uncharacterized. The record is from RefSeq and is a predicted model, not a curated record. The transcript has 3 exons. Lineage: Eukaryota; Metazoa; Chordata; Actinopteri; Pleuronectiformes; Soleidae.
CUUUAAAGGCGACAUCGAAUGCUUGUAUCACACAUAUAUGUUAGUUAUGGAGGUCUACUUACAUAUAUUAACUUGUUUUCAUGGUUCAAAACCUUCUAAUCGCUGCAAACGAGCCGAUCAAAAUAUCUCCUCACUGACGCUCUCGUCAGCCGCGCUGUUUCAGACCAAAACCACCCCCCCAGAACGUGGACUGUGUUGUGAUUGGCCAGCCAACGAGAGCUUUCCCACUUUCCUGUGAUUGGCCAGGUACCUGGAAGUGACGUGUUUAGAACGUCAGCUCUCAGAUACGCAGCUCUUUUUUUUUUUUUUUUUUAAACAACUUUAUUGAAAUACGGUUACAUUACAAAAGUGAAGAAAGAAACAUAUUACAUUAGUGAACAAACAGAGCAAAAACAGGAGAAAUAAAACUUUGCCAGGGUAGCUGAUGAGUUAUUAAAAAGAGAAAGAAAAGGAAGACCAAACAUUGACAGUCUUAAUUGCUUUUUUGUUAUUAGAGCCAGAAAUCAAAUAAAUCAGAUACGCAGCCCUCCCUCUGGCACGAUUGAUGCUCUGCUCGUCAUUAUCAAAACAUUGUUAAAUGGCUGUGUCACGACCCCGCGCCGUAAUCCCUUACACAUUUGACCCGGAGUCUGACCCAGAGACAGAAGAUACUGUCGCAAGUGAAACACCUCCACAACAAAGACUGCUGCAGGACGCCUCAGAAUGGUGCACUUGUGGGAACUGCAUGACGAUGCCCACAGAAGGGGAGAACGUCUGCUGUAGAGAAACACUUAAGGUUAUCCGAAGAAUGAAUGAACUUCCGGACACACCAACAUGCAUGAUCUACCAUCCAGGCCUGGAGCCUAACUGCUUGAACCCAUACACACUGCAGAACAUGAACAACAUCUACCGG